AAUACAUGCAAGUMGAGCGGACAGAUGGGAGCUUGCUCCCUGAUGUUAGCGGCGGACGGGUGAGUAACACGUGGGUAACCUGCCUGUAAGACUGGGAUAACUCCGGGAAACCGGGGCUAAUACCGGAUGCUUGUUUGAACCGCAUGGUUCAAACAUAAAAGGUGGCUUCGGCUACCACUUACAGAUGGACCCGCGGCGCAUUAGCUAGUUGGUGAGGUAAUGGCUCACCAAGGCGACGAUSCGUAGCCGACCUGASAGGGYGAUCGGCCMCACUGGGACUGAGACACGGCCCAGACUCCUACGGGAGGCAGCAGUAGGGAAUCUUCCGCAAUGGACGAAAGUCUGACGGAGCAACGCCGCGUGAGUGAUGAAGGUUUUCGGAUCGUAAAGCUCUGUUGUUAGGGAAGAACAAGUACCGUUCGAAUAGGGCGGUACCUUGACGGUACCUAACCAGAAAGCCACGGCUAACUACGUGCCAGCAGCCGCGGUAAUACGUAGGUGGCAAGCGUUGUCCGGAAUUAUUGGGCGUAAAGGGCUCSCAGGCGGUUUCUUAAGUCUGAUGUGAAASCCCCCGGCUCAACCGGGGAGGGUCAUUGGAAACUGGGGAACUYGAGUGCAGAAGAGGAGAGUGGAAUUCCMCGUGUAGCGG
RNAcentral lists this ribosomal RNA (649 nucleotides) under Bacillus sp. BAB-5109. RNAcentral's name for it is "bacterial SSU rRNA". It matches the Rfam family "Bacterial small subunit ribosomal RNA", at positions 50 to 681 of the family's 1533-position model. Lineage: Bacteria; Bacillati; Bacillota; Bacilli; Caryophanales; Bacillaceae. The record is from RNAcentral.